This 617-nucleotide long non-coding RNA is filed under the name Bos grunniens (domestic yak). Its description in RNAcentral is "lncRNA (ENSBGRG00000023758.1)". Lineage: Eukaryota; Metazoa; Chordata; Mammalia; Artiodactyla; Bovidae. The record is from RNAcentral.
AUGACUAAGUGUCAGAAGUCAGGUUUUCUGAGAAUUACUUUUCAGAUAAACAACUUUAUAGCACAGCACUUAAUCUUACUUACUAGAGACAUCUCAUUUAUCACUGAAUUACAAGGAAACCAGCUUCUUUUCAUUUCAUCAACAAAACUGGACACGGAUCAAUUUCAACUGACCUUUGCCGAAAGGUGGCGCUGUUGAGAGCCAGGCAGAAGAGGAGGCGAGAAGCAUGAAGUGUUAACUCCCCGGUGCCAAGGCCUGCGCCGCCCGGACAGCCGCCCGCCGCGCCUGCAGCCCCGAACGGCCGCCGCGCGCGCCCCGCCUGCAGCCGGGGCCAGCAAGCCGAGCCGAGCCCUCCUUAUGCAAAGCGCGCAGCGGAGCGGCGAGCGGGGGACGCCGCGCACCCAGCCGGGUUCCUCCGGCUUCGCCGCCGCCGCCGCCACCGCAGCCCGUGGAGGACCUUCCCGAGCCUGAAGCCGCCGACUCGGCGCGCUAGGAGGCGAGCAGGCGAGGAGGGGCCGGGGCGAGCGAGCGAGCACAUUGGCGUGAGCCGGGGCGGGGGGGAGGGAGGGCGGGCGCGGGGGGCGCGGGCAGGGCGGCGGGGGUGUGUGUGUGUGUGU